GGGAGAGUGAGCGAACGAAUGUGUGGUGCUCAGCCACCUGCUGGGUUAAACCACAACAGCACAGCACUCCUCCCCACAUCCCAGCUUCUCCAACAUGAAAAGGAUUUGGAAAUAUUGUCUUCUUUCAAGUGUUCAUCAUCACAGUCUGGAUCUCCACUUUUCAAGAUGUGGCUUCAUCAGUGCUGAACAGAAAAGAAGGAUCUUUCCUCUUGACCUGCUGACGCUCCUCCUAAUGCAGUCCAUGAUACUGUUGGCCUUUUU
RNAcentral lists this long non-coding RNA (261 nucleotides) under Gallus gallus (chicken). Lineage: Eukaryota; Metazoa; Chordata; Aves; Galliformes; Phasianidae. The record is from RNAcentral.